AACGAACGCUGGCGGCAGGCCUAACACAUGCAAGUCGAGCGAGGACUUCGGUUCUAGCGGCGGACGGGUGAGUAACGCGUGGGAAUGUUCCCUUCUCUACGGAAUAGCUCUGGGAAACUGGGAGUAAUACCGUAUACGCCCUAUUGGGGAAAGAUUUAUCGGAGCAGGAUCAGCCCGCGUUGGAUUAGGUAGUUGGUGGGGUAAUGGCCUACCAAGCCGACGAUCCAUAGCUGGUUUGAGAGGAUGAUCAGCCACACUGGGACUGAGACACGGCCCAGACUCCUACGGGAGGCAGCGGUGGGGAAUCUUAGACACUGGGGGCAACCCUGAUCUAGCCAUGCCGCGUGAGUGAUGAAGGCCUUAGGGUUGUAAAGCUCUUUCAGCUGGGAAGAUAAUGACGGUACCAGCAGAAGAAGCCCCGGCUAACUCCGUG
This 433-nucleotide ribosomal RNA is filed under the name uncultured bacterium. Its description in RNAcentral is "partial 16S ribosomal RNA". It matches the Rfam family "Bacterial small subunit ribosomal RNA", at positions 29 to 507 of the family's 1533-position model. The record is from RNAcentral.